GCUACCAUGCAGUCGAACGGUAGCACAGAGAGCUUGCUCUCGGGUGACGAGUGGCGGACGGGUGAGUAAUGUCUGGGAAACUGCCCGAUGGAGGGGGAUAACUACUGGAAACGGUAGCUAAUACCGCAUAACGUCGCAAGACCAAAGAGGGGGACCUUCGGGCCUCUUGCCAUCGGAUGUGCCCAGAUGGGAUUAGCUUGUAGGUGAGGUAACGGCUCACCUAGGCGACGAUCCCUAGCUGGUCUGAGAGGAUGACCAGCCACACUGGAACUGAGACACGGUCCAGACUCCUACGGGAGGCAGCAGUGGGGAAUAUUGCACAAUGGGCGCAAGCCUGAUGCAGCCAUGCCGCGUGUAUGAAGAAGGCCUUCGGGUUGUAAAGUACUUUCAGCGGGGAGGAAGGGAGUGAGGUUAAUAACCUUAUUCAUUGACGUUACCCGCAGAAGAAGCACCGGCUAACUCCGUGCCAGCAGCCGCGGUAAUACGGAGGGUGCAAGCGUUAAUCGGAAUUACUGGGCGUAAAGCGCACGCAGGCGGUCUGUCAAGUCGGAUGUGAAAUCCCCGGGCUCAACCUGGGAACUGCAUUCGAAACUGGCAGCUGGAGUCUUGUAUAGGGGGGGUAGAA
This 625-nucleotide ribosomal RNA is filed under the name Klebsiella sp. RNAcentral describes it as "bacterial SSU rRNA". It matches the Rfam family "Bacterial small subunit ribosomal RNA", at positions 48 to 666 of the family's 1533-position model. Lineage: Bacteria; Pseudomonadati; Pseudomonadota; Gammaproteobacteria; Enterobacterales; Enterobacteriaceae. The record is from RNAcentral.